UCCUCACUAUCCAUGGAUACUUCACAGAUACCGUAUGUCCAAUAUGUAUGUACCACUCAUCUUCAAUAAGGAAAUAAAAAAAUAUUUUUUUAUUCCAGUUUUAUCCACUAAACAAGAUUAAGUUUAUUUUGGUUUCCAUUUUCAGACCUCAAAACUUGAGCGUUCUUCCUUCUCAAUGCCCGGGCAACCAUCCAAUGCAUUCUUUAUGUUUCAGCCACCUCUUCCAUCUCUCCGCCGCUGCCAAUAUCAUCACCACCCAAAUCGGUUAAACAAAACUCCACCACCAUCAUCUUCAUCGCCGCCACCAGCACCAAAAACAUUUUGAAGAGAAGAUCCAGUUCUCUUAUCUUCUUUCUUCUUCUUUCUUCCUUUUGUUCUUUCAUUCCUUUAAUCGAAUGAUUUGUGAAUCAUGGAUGUUAAUCAUGAGAAAUUAACAUUAUAAUCAAAUAAAGAUUGGUGUUAUGAAGAUUGUAGAGCAAAAUUGGUUAGGAUUUGGUGUUAAUUGAGAAAAAGAGGAAUUCGAGGAAAUUACGGUUAGAAUAUCAAGAAUUGAAUGAAGAUUUCGAGUGAAAUUGGAGGUGAAAUCAAGCAAGAAAUCAUGGGUAUGUUGUGUUACGAGCAAGAGAAAGUGGGUAGCAAAAAACUGAUUCUCCAUUAUCAAGAAUGAAUCAGUGAAUUAUGGUUUUCAAAGUUUAUUAGAAACUCAAUUAGGGAUGAAUAAUAAGAAAGUAAAGGAUGGGUCUGCUUGAUUUGAAGACCAUGAUUGGGAAUUUGACCUCGAGUAAGGGAAAAGAGGAUUCGGGGAUGUAUUUUAGAGUUUCUGAGAAUCGGUAAUGGUGAUGAGUAAUUUUAUUGGAUGUUGGUUGAUUUGAAUUGGAGGAUUGUUGAUAAUCGUGAGGUGGGUUGUUGAAUCAACUCAAAAUAAAAAAGAAGCCGAUCUCAAAUAACUGUGUGAAAACAAGCUAAUAUUGGGCAAGUCUUUAUGUUGCUUAGUUUUAGUAUUUUGGAAUUACGUUGUGUAAAAUUGAUGAGUUGUGUUGUUGUGCAACAUAGAAAUGGAAGCAGAAAUUUCUAGUGAUGGAACUGCAGUGUGCUUAGAAUGGUGGUGAAGAUGAGGGCUGGGAGUUGUUAUUGAAGACAACAAAAACUAGAGAUGAGAUAUUAGCUGGGUCUGAGGAUGCAGGGCUGAAUUUCACAGUGUUUGUGAGGAACUUGGUGACUGUUUUCUAGAUAUUUAGGAGAUGGCUUGUGAUGGAGAUGUUCUUGAUGAUUCGGACGAAGCUGUAAUUGUUGACAUGGGUUUGAUAGUUAGAAGGAAUGAGGAACUGGACAUAAGAGAAAUUUGGUAGAGAGGAGAUGGAGUUUGCUGGGAUAGUAUGGAAAAGUUGGAUGGAGUUGGUAAUGUUGUUUUGUCUCUAUUGCAGAAUGAGGAAGGAGAAAAUGAUGUUGCUUUUGGUUGUUAAAUUUAAUGGCGGUGAAUGAUCUGUUCUUGGAAUUCUUCCAGUAGCACGAUAACUCUUACCAGCGGAAAUAAAAUGAGUUCGUUUGUAUUGAUUACCCAACUCUGAAAAAGUAAUAGUGCUCUAGCUGUUGUUCUUGACUAUUUAUACCUUUCUAUUUCAGGUGGUGUUUCUGGUGUUGUAGUUGUUGUUCAUGGAACCUAAGAGGCUGAGCGAUAUAAGGUUCUUGCACUAUUGGAGAUUUGGUAUAUUUGGAAAACAACAUUGGGGAAGUUUUCAUCUCGUCCAUACGAGUAUUUUCUUGUCUUAUCCCAUGGAGACUUACUCCUUGUUGGAAGAGAUUUUGUGUAAAUGACUUGGAGACUUCAUUGGGAUUCUGAAGCCAGA
This is a long non-coding RNA of Papaver somniferum (opium poppy), 1847 nucleotides long. RefSeq lists it as uncharacterized. The transcript is spliced from 3 exons. The record is from RefSeq and is a predicted model, not a curated record. Lineage: Eukaryota; Viridiplantae; Streptophyta; Magnoliopsida; Ranunculales; Papaveraceae.